UGUGUGUGUGUGUGUGUGUGUGUGUGUGUGUGUAUGUAUCUGACAAACAGAUACACACACACACACACACACAAU
This 75-nucleotide microRNA precursor is filed under the name Pelobates cultripes (western spadefoot toad). Lineage: Eukaryota; Metazoa; Chordata; Amphibia; Anura; Pelobatidae. The record is from RNAcentral.